Non-coding RNA from Felis catus (domestic cat), 47 nucleotides. The record is from Rfam. Lineage: Eukaryota; Metazoa; Chordata; Mammalia; Carnivora; Felidae.
CCAACGGCUCUUUUCAGAGCCACUUAACUUGUCACAGGAAGCGGCUG